UACGUAGGGUGCGAGCGUUAAUCGGAAUUACUGGGCGUAAAGCGUGCGCAGGCGGCUGUCUAAGUCUGGGGUGAAAGGUUCAACGCUUAACGUGAACAGUGCCUUGGAGACUGGAUGGCUUGAAUGUGGCAGAGGAUAGUGGAAUGGCUGGUGUAGCGGUGAAAUGCGUAGAUAUCAGUCGGAACACCCAUGGCGAAGGCAGCUAUCUGGGCUAACAUUGACGCUGAGGUGCGAAAGCGUGGGGAGCGAACGGG
Molecule: ribosomal RNA, 254 nt
Filed under: uncultured bacterium
Lineage: Bacteria
Description: partial 16S ribosomal RNA
Rfam family: Bacterial small subunit ribosomal RNA
Source: RNAcentral